GAUACCAGUGUACAAAGGUCUGAGCCCGCGCAUGCUUGCAUGCAGAUGGGCGGAAGAACUUGGUGCACGCCCCGACAUGAGCAUAAAAGGGAAGCGAUAGCUUCACGAUAUGCGAAUGAUGGAAAAUUGUGAGAGUGCGAAGCACGGAACAAUUUGAUGGUG
This 162-nucleotide small RNA is filed under the name human gut metagenome. RNAcentral's name for it is "Clostridiales-1 RNA". It matches the Rfam family "Clostridiales-1 RNA". The record is from RNAcentral.